Oryctolagus cuniculus (rabbit) is the source of this 3299-nucleotide non-coding RNA. The record is from RefSeq and is a predicted model, not a curated record. Lineage: Eukaryota; Metazoa; Chordata; Mammalia; Lagomorpha; Leporidae.
CACUCUGCAGCCCGGCCGGCGGCGCGGGGCCCGCAGUGCCCGCCGCGGCCCUUGCCCCCCGCAAGCCGCCGUGCGCACAGCCCCGCUGCGGGCCGCUCCGAGGGCCAGUCCGGGGCUUUGCUUCAGCUAAUUGAUUGUGUGCUUCGGAUGCUAAACCUGUUGAUCUCGUGAGUUGUCUGAGCCAAGACUGUUAAUUACCCAGCGGCCUGACCCCGCAGUCGCCCAGAGAUGCCAGGAAGUGUUCGCACUGGACCGGGGCAUUCUUGUCUGUGAUUUGGUGGUGUUGGUGGCGGGACUCUGCCCUCUCGGACCUGGAGCUGAACACGAUUGGCGUUUGGCGUUCCUGGAUUCUGGAUUCGCGUGUUCGGUCGUUGGCCGCAUUUUAUCCGACCCAAAGUUGCGAUUACCUGGAGGGUCUGACUAGAUCCUGGCGGAAAACUUCACGUCCAGUAGCUAAAUAGAAGGGAUGAGACCGCAAAGAAGCAUAACAUGAAUAGAUAAUCCAUCCAACCAAAGGCCGGGGGCAGCAGCGCGCCAGCAAGGACGGGCACCUUCCCUCCUCCCCCGCCCAGAAGCCCCGCGAAACCGAAGAUCUUCCCCCUAAAACACACACACCCAAGAUCCGUGCCAUCCAGCUGCCGCCGCUUGAUGAAUGGUUGGCUCACGCUGCCGGAGAUUACUUGCUGAACGGAAAAAAAAAAAAAAAAAAAAAGUUGGGAAUGAACUCCGAAGGCGACAGCUCCGCCGUGGACGGUGGCGCACCAAACGGAAGCCGGGUCCCGAGUGCCCGCGGGGAGCAAGCCCAGGAGCGCGGCGAGGACGGGGACGCGCAGCCGGCGAGCGAGGGAAGCCAGUUGUUAUCUUUGGUUAUCUAGCUGUAUGAGUGUAUUGGCCUUCAUAAAGCUAGAUAACCGAAAGUAAGAACUGCUUCAAGGUCGCCGCGAGCGGGACCGCCGCGCAGAGACCCUAGAAACCGAAAGGUCAGAGGCGCUUACUGAGUCUAAGUCCGUGAGUGUGUGUGUGCUGGGCUUGCUUCCUGCGUGCCGCGAGGCGGGGGCCUGGCCGGGGCGAGGGGGACCCUGCGUGUGCCGCGUGCUCCGUCUGCAGGCAGAAGUUUACAGUCCAGGCGCCCCCCACCCACCCACACCCCCCACACCCCCUUUGGAAAGCUGUUGUGGAGAUGUCUGGUGCCUCGCUUUAAAAAUGAUUCCAUCAUGGGUGGACAUGGGCAUUGCCUUCUGAGACCCCUCCCCACGCCUCCCCCCACCACUCCUCCCCAGCCCCCUACCCCCGAGUGUGAGGACCAGGGCUGCAAAACUGCUCUCCCUGUAUUUGGCUGUCAAAUGAUAUGAAAUCGGACUUUCAGAAAACUUUAUGCUGGAAGGUUAAUAAUUUAUGUCUACUGAGGACUUAGAGCUAGCAGGGAAAAAUGAAAAAAAAAAAAAAGCAAAGCCUGAUUUUUUUUUCUUCUAUUCAAAAUACAAGGACAGAUGCUUCUGUGUUCCGAGAGGGUUUCCUUGAGGAACCUACUGAAGCAGAAAGACAUGAUGGAGACGAGAUCGCCUCCCCUCUUGUCAAAGUGUUAAAAAAAUGUUCUGUCUUACUCUGCGCCUAGCAUUGGAAAUGAAAGUGACAUUUACGCCACAACCCACGUGUGCGCCUCCUCUCUUUUUGUUUAAGGAUGAUCAGGCCUAUCCAGGAAACAGCUCUGGCAUCCCAAACUGAAAUAAUUAGGACGUAUAUAGACCUGACAAAAAUGGAAAGGGGGUGGGGAAUCCGAGGGUCUGUCUUGCCUAAUUGAUUCCGCUAAACGGCGUGCAGGAGAUGAGAACGGCAGGACGCUGCGAUUCCCACGCUCGGGGGCAAGUGGUAGAGCGAGCCGGCAGCCUAUGACAGACAGCCCUGUUGGGGGGUGGGAGUAUGAAAAAAAAGCAUCAAGUGCACACACCAUACUCAUCUCCAUCGCUUAAGAAAGUAAAGGCAUUUCCCACCCACAGCCAUCUGCAGCCUCCCACAUGGCAGCACCAACUGGCCUGUAGCUGGUGCACACUGUGUAUUUCUGUUAAUUUUUUUUUUUAAACCGCUGUGUGAUCUGGCCGUAAUGAAGUUUGGCUUGCUUCUUCGGGUGCGAUUUUCACUAUUUAAGGAAAGCUCGUAGAGAUGGAUUCCAAGAAAGUUCCAUCCGUGGGGCCUGCGUCCCUGGUGUCACAUGGGCAGUCUGUACCUGAGGCCCUUUAGGCUUUUGUUUUGGCUGGGUUCUAUUUUGAGAUACAGAUCUCCGUGUAAUAGUCAUCAGCACCACUCCCUCGGGCUGUUUACCUCUGCACGGGCCAGCACGGGCCACGGCUGAGACCUUGGCCUGGUUGUGCUGGUAGCUGUGCACUGGAGGCCAAACUCGCAAGUCCUCAGUCUGUAGGAAGUUGAUGACGACGACGGUAUGAGAAGAGGUUGCUUUGGAGUUAAGUGCCAGCUAGGUGAGCUCUAACAGCCAUCUUCAUUUAAUCUAAGAAUAACUGUGCCUAGCAGGAACUUUGGGGGUCUUUGGAGGUCUCCAUUGUGGUUUUUACUGAACGGCCUCAUGUUUUCCCACUUGUCACCGAGCAAACAUUUGUACAGGCGUUUACACAUCCAUACGGCCAUUGCCACUGGAAAAAAAAAAGUCCAAAACAGCCUGCUGGCUUCCACGUGGCCUAGACGACCGACCAUCCCCAAUCUAUGAUUUUUUUUUUUCUUCAAAGGAAGUGUAUUUUCCUUUGGGGCCUCGACUCCUUCUCAGACUUCACACUGGAGAAGCCGGUUAAAAACUCCAAGAGACUUGAUUAGUGUGAAUUCUCAAUUUGGCUGCUGAACACGUGCCAAAGUUUUACUGUGUAGUGACCGUUAAGAAGACAUUUGUUUAUUUACAUUUGAAGCACUGUUUGUGCAAACAACCUUUCAUUGUUAAGUGCCUGUAUUCCUUUCAUUUGCUUCAUGUCCAGGGGUGCUAUUUACCUAGAACCAUUGUCUACUACAAUUAACAUUUACAUUACAAAGUGUGUGGUUUUCUUUCUCAAGGAGGUUCAAUUAAGGCAAUAAGAUGUUUGCUGGGGAAACCUAUUGUUUACUGAAAGCACUCAAUGGAGUCAAAUUACUGAAGCUUUUGCCUACAUCUUGGUCUUUUAUGUAAAUAUGUUAACUACAACAUCUAAGGAAAAUAAACAAUAUUAUAAUUAUGUGUUUGCCAUUGUCAUAUCCAACUUGCUUUGUAUCAUACUAAUGUUGCAUAACUUACCAAUCAAUAAAAAUACAUUUCAAUGUUA